This 407-nucleotide ribosomal RNA is filed under the name uncultured prokaryote. RNAcentral's name for it is "bacterial SSU rRNA". It matches the Rfam family "Bacterial small subunit ribosomal RNA", at positions 355 to 776 of the family's 1533-position model. RNAcentral also lists the same sequence under 1 other name. The record is from RNAcentral.
UGGGGGAUAUUGCGCAAUGGGGGAAACCCUGACGCAGCAACGCCGCGUGAAGGAAGAAGGUUUUCGGAUUGUAAACUUCUUUUAUUAAGGACGAAACAAAUGACGGUACUUAAUGAAUAAGCUCCGGCUAACUACGUGCCAGCAGCCGCGGUAAUACGUAGGGAGCAAGCGUUGUCCGGAUUUACUGGGUGUAAAGGGUGCGUAGGCGGCAAAGCAAGUCAGAUGUGAAAUGUAUGGGCUCAACCCAUGACCUGCAUUUGAAACUGUUUUGCUUGAGUGAAGUAGAGGUAGGCGGAAUUCCCUGUGUAGCGGUGAAAUGCGUAGAGAUAGGGAGGAACACCAGUGGCGAAGGCGGCCUACUGGGCUUUAACUGACGCUGAGGCACGAAAGCGUGGGUAGCAAACAGG